UGCUGGUACGGAAGGCGCUAGGGUCGAUUCACUUGGUGUCUGUGCAAGCGGUGGUACCCCAUUAACUCUCACAGUGUUGACGUCGAGUGCCGCAGAUCGGCCUUACGGUGCGAGGCUUUCGUUUCCGUGGAGAGUAUGAGUAGUUAUACCAGAGUUUAGAGUAAAAUUUCGGCUACUUGCAUGUUGAUAACGAAAUGGAGACUAGGACGACAGCUACGAAGGCGGUUGUCCGUAUUCGGGGAGCAGUGCGUUCUGGGUCUGUAUUUCUAUGCUGCUUGCUGUCUGACUGCGGUGUUCUCGGUAAGUACGGAUCAUUCUUUGCUGAUACGCCUCACAGCGCAGCUGUUAAAGAGUAUUCCCUGUUUAUCUGCGGUCAACGAAGAAGCCAAUGCGUGAUGUCAGUGCUUGCUGUGUUUAGCGAACUUUGGUUUACUUUCAUUCCUUAGAGAAUUUUCACUUAAACUUCGGAAAAAGGUGGAAAAAUUUGUUGCUUCAGCAUACUCCUUGUAGUGAAACUUGUUUUAAUAACUGUUAAUUCGGGAUUUUUGACGGUUUGUGCAAUAAUUGCUUAGGGACAUAUAGCUUCGUAGUUGCGCUAUGUUGUCAAAUGUCGCAGAACUUUCAUUGCAUAGAAUACUUACUGCAAAGAUCAACCACAGUUAGCAACGGUGUUUGAAGACGAGCACAAAGGGUGUCCCGUAAUUACAAGUAAAUACUGGUGCAUAACGCGUUGAGACGGUCACAGCUUCUACAAAUAGCGUGGCUGAUAGAACGUUUCAGUUUAUGGCGGAGUAGUGGGUACACAAGGGUAGCGUGAAGAUCCACCACCCCCGUACGCUGUGAAGUAGAUUUCAUUACCAUUAAUAAACGUAACUAUAUUUUUACCGCGCUGUGUAACUUGUCAAGCAUAGAUCGUGUUUGCGA
This is a long non-coding RNA of Schistocerca gregaria, 924 nucleotides long. RefSeq lists it as uncharacterized. The transcript is spliced from 2 exons. The record is from RefSeq and is a predicted model, not a curated record. Lineage: Eukaryota; Metazoa; Arthropoda; Insecta; Orthoptera; Acrididae.